RNAcentral lists this long non-coding RNA (1185 nucleotides) under Apteryx haastii (Great spotted kiwi). Its description in RNAcentral is "lncRNA (ENSAHAG00000001209.1)". The record is from RNAcentral. Lineage: Eukaryota; Metazoa; Chordata; Aves; Apterygiformes; Apterygidae.
UCAAAAAACAGAGGUAUCCAAAUACAUCACUUGGAUUGGACUUCAUCCACAAAUUCAUGGUGUUGGUGUUCUUUCUUUCUUCCUUAUGCUGGUGUUCCCAUCAGAUUCUCCAGUCUGGAGCUUGUUUCAGACUGUCUUUUUAGUUAUAGCACUAGGAAGAAUGGAAAAGAUUUUCCCAACUUUGUGGCUGUUGCAGAGGUUUCCACGUUAUGGAAUUAUUUAUGGAUGGAAGACAGAAGUCUUGGGCUGAAAUUUCUGCUUUUCCUGAAGCCGGGUGGUCUAACACUUCCCCCUCACUCCCCUUGUACUGUAUAUUAUUUCAUGGAAAGAGGUAAUAGAUUACAAGUCUUAAGGUGUUCAAAUGCAAAGUAAAUAAAUUGUAACUUCUGUUUUUCAUUUCCUAUUCAUUUACCUUUUAUUCAGGGUGCCUGACUUGUUUGGUCCUUCCCAUGUCUUGGUAUGACUUACUGUGCUCCAUUGUAAACUGUUGGGGUGAUUCACAAGCACCUCAGAUGGCUUUUAGUGAGGACAGUGUAGGAGGCUGGGAAUCUGGGUGGCUGAACUUCAUCAGCUCCUUCAAGCUAAGAUGUCUCUGCACAUUAGUCAGAACAUUUUCUUUCCAUUAACAGGAAAGGCAUGGAGCCCUGUAUCAAUGUCUCCUAUUCAUGUCUUAGAGACAGAAAUUAAAGUUGGGUUUUGCAUUACAACUAAGCCAAUCUCUUAGCAAGUAGCUGCUAAGAGCAGUGUCUCUCUGCCUUUUGUAACCUCUGGCUGCAUGUUCCUGCUGCUUCCUUUGUCUCUGUGUAGUGAUCAUGCAGUUGUAGAGCAAGUUGGUUCAGCUGGAUGAUCUGAUGCAAACCUAACACUGCAAGACUUCUUCAGGAUCAGCUGCCUGAAAUGACUUUCUCUGAGCACAGUCACUAAACCCAGUGCAAGGGAAGCCAGGAGUGAGGAACAGGUAGAACUGCUCCUGCUGCCCUAAGAUCAGCUGAGUUGUGUUGUGAAAUCACACCAUCGCUUUUCCAAGCUGAUGAUUUUGUUAGUCUCAAGAGCCUUUUUAACUUGAUUCAUUUUAUGGGUAUACGGAGGUUUAAAAAAACAAAAAACAAACAAAACCUCCUCUCUGAGGUGUGUUCCUUGAGUGCUUAUCGCUUUGAUUUAUUCGGGUAUUCAUGAGUCAUUCAU